Molecule: small RNA, 2442 nt
Filed under: Pongo abelii (Sumatran orangutan)
Lineage: Eukaryota; Metazoa; Chordata; Mammalia; Primates; Hominidae
Description: retained intron
Source: RNAcentral
UCCGGUGUGGGUGGGGUGGGCGUACGGAGGGGCGAAAAACAGAGGGCGGUGGUCCCCAGGCCCCCUCUUCGGCUUGUGACACGCUGGGCAUCUCGGGUUAUAAAAGGUGGGGCUGAGACGGGUGUGUGUCAAUUUCGAACCCCCGACUCCGGGGCUCCGCUGGGGAAGGGGCUGGCGGUCGGCUUUGUAAAGGGACCUAAGGCUUCUCCUCCCCCAAUAUCCCGAACAGUCGCGGGGUGGGGACAAUGAGAGCCCAGAAGGUUCGAGAAUGUCUCAGCCUGUGUUUCAGAAGCACUUGAAUUGUUGGCCUCUGCCCAGUGGGUUCCCUUGGCCACGAACCCCACUCCUUUUCUGGCCUCAGUUUUCCGUCUGUGGCAAGAGGGAGGCUCUGUGUCAGCACCGAACACGGUUAAUUUCUGCAAGUCUCAGGAAGGAUAUAAUAGGAUAGGAUAUAAAUUACGUUCUCUCCACUCCCCAGCACCUAAUACCGUGUGGCAUGCUGUAUUUAAUAAAUACGUGUUCAAUGAAUUUAUCCUCCCAGGAAUCCCUUAAAAGGGGAAUUUUAGGUCAGGCGCCGUUGAUCACGCCUGUAAUCCAAACACUGGGAGGCUGAGGCGGGUGGAUCGCUUGAGCCCAAGAGUGCGAGACCAGCCUGGGCAACCCAGGGAGACCCCUCGUCUCUACAGAAACUUAAAAAUUUAGCCGGGCAUGGUGGCGCGCACCUGUAGUCGUAGCUACUUGGGAGGCCGAGGCAGGAGGAUCACUGGAGCCCGGAAGGCCGAAGUUGCAGUGAGCUGAGAUCGCGCCACUGCACUCCAUCAUCCUGGGCAGCAGAGUGAGACUCUGUCUCAAAAAAAAAAAAAAAAAAAAAAAAGGUAAAUUAAAGAGAGAGGAAUUUUAGUUCUAUCUUACAGGUGAGAAAACUGAGGCGGGGACUGGGGUGGGGGCAGGUCAGUAGCUUCCAGUCUGGACUGCAGGUGACAGGGGUAACUGGAACCUGGGUUUGCCGGCAGCUUUCCAGCGUCUCUGCUUGCUCGACAAAGCAGAGGCAAGAGUGACAUUUUGAGACGCCUACCAGGCCUGUGCACCAGAUUCCAGUCCCGAAAUAGCCUCCUGUGGGGCUUGGGUGAGCUUGUAUUUCACCCUGGGUCCUGGGAAGGUGUUCAGAAUCUAGGAGCCGCAGGGCCGGGUGCGGUGGCUCAUGCCUGUAAUCUCAGCACUUGCGGAGGCGGAGGCGGAGGCGGAGGCGGAGGCGGAGGCGGGCCGAUCCCCUGAGGUCAGGAGUUUGAGAGCAGCCCGGCCAACAUGGUGAAAAUACAAAAAUUAGCUGGGCGUGGUGUAAGAAUCCAGGAGCUGCAGGGUUUUCCUUGGAGUGCUGCGAUGGCUGUGGGUGAGGGCGGUGGGCACAGGGAGUGGGUGGGGACCUUAUCUGCUGUUCUCCUAAUCCAGUUCUCCUGGUUUUCCCCCGUCCCCGUCUCUCGUAUUUGUGGUCUCCUUGUCUCCUCUCUUUCUCUCCCCUUUUUCCCUUCCCCCUUCUCUGUCUCUUGCUUGGUGUUGGUUUUCUGUGUGUCUCUGUGUGUCCCCGUGCCACCCCCUGUGCUGUGCCCCAAAACUCUGCCUGGCUGGUGCCUGGCUUCUCUCUUGAGGGCAUCUGUCACCUCUUCUGCUUGGUCAUCUGGUCAUCUGUGUUCCUCUUUUUUUCUUCCUGGCCCCACCUUGCUUUCUCUACCCUCCUCUCCCGAUCCCCCACUUCUCCCUCUCUCCCCUGGGCCCCGAUGUCUUGGACUCUCCUACCAGUGGCGCUUGAGGCUACAAGUCCAAGUAUCUUCAGCUCAAGAAGAAGUUAGAAGAUGAGUUCCCCGGCCGCCUGGACAUCUGCGGCGAGGGAACUCCCCAGGCCACCGGGUUCUUUGAAGUGAUGGUAGCCGGGAAGUUGAUUCACUCUAAGAAGAAAGGCGAUGGCUACGUGGACACAGAAAGCAAGUUUCUGAAGCUGGUGGCCGCCAUCAAAGCCGCCUUGGCUCAGGGCUAAUGCGCCCUGAAGGCAGAGUCCAGGGACCUUGACCCAGCCCCUCUCAGCAGACGCUUCAUGAUAGGAAGGACUGAAAAAUCUUGUGGACACCUGGUCUUUCCCUGAUGUUCUCGUGGCUGCUGUUGGGGGCAGAGAUUGACGCCCCUGGUCUUUGCCUCUGUGUGAGAGAGUCUGUGUGUAUGUGUCUUCCCCGGAAUCCACACCACCCCACCCUCCUCCUGUCCCGUGGUUUCAUCAUAUCUCUUUGCAUACCCCAUGUCUUCCCCAGUUGUCCCCUGGAGUUUGGGGGGACAUCCCGCCUCAGGCAUCCUUCUCAAGGGGAAGCCAAGAGAGGCAUCAGGAUGGGUGGGUUUCUGAUUGUGGCGACGUUUGCAACCGUUCACGAUUCAAUAAAUAUUGGAUGAAUUUAA